UAUCCAGAUCCUGAAAAAUUCCAUCUUCUCCACAAAGUUUUGAUCCAUUCAGCUUCACCGCCUCCCACUCUCUUCUCCAAAUUCCUAUUCCAUUUAUCUUUUACCCCUCACGGAUGACAGUUCUUUGUCUUAUGUUUUCCUUUGACUUAGAACUUUUGGAUUUUGGCUAUAGCAUUCCUGGGAGUUUUAUUUUGGAUUUUCUUUCCGGAGGUGAGUAGUAGAUUCUUUCUAUGUACAUUUUGCCUGUCUAUUUUCAUUGUAUCCUAAGGGAUUGGGG
This 277-nucleotide long non-coding RNA is filed under the name Monodelphis domestica (gray short-tailed opossum). Its description in RNAcentral is "lncRNA (ENSMODG00000045134.1)". Lineage: Eukaryota; Metazoa; Chordata; Mammalia; Didelphimorphia; Didelphidae. The record is from RNAcentral.